AUCUGUGUGGUCUGUGAUGUGUUUCUGUGUCUGAUUUAAAAACAUGAGGCAUUUCACAGUAUUCGUCACUACCCCUGAGACCACAUCGUG
RNAcentral lists this small nucleolar RNA (90 nucleotides) under Dicentrarchus labrax (European seabass). RNAcentral describes it as "Small nucleolar RNA SNORD70 (ENSDLAG00005017091.2)". It matches the Rfam family "Small nucleolar RNA SNORD70". Rfam says of the family: snoRNA HBII-234 belongs to the C/D family of snoRNAs. It is the human orthologue of the mouse MBII-234 and is predicted to guide 2'O-ribose methylation of the small 18S rRNA on position A512. It is hosted, together with HBII-95, by the core C/D box snoRNA protein encoding gene NOP5/NOP58. Lineage: Eukaryota; Metazoa; Chordata; Actinopteri; Moronidae. The record is from Rfam by way of RNAcentral.